AAGUGUGUGAAGGAGUGGUUUUAUCUGAAGCAGUGGAAACAAGGAAACACUUGAUUUGGUAAAACUAUAAA
This 71-nucleotide non-coding RNA is filed under the name unclassified sequences. Its description in RNAcentral is "Cyano-1 RNA". It matches the Rfam family "Cyano-1 RNA". The record is from RNAcentral. RNAcentral also lists the same sequence under 1 other name.